This 270-nucleotide ribosomal RNA is filed under the name uncultured archaeon. Its description in RNAcentral is "partial 16S ribosomal RNA". It matches the Rfam family "Archaeal small subunit ribosomal RNA", at positions 477 to 747 of the family's 1478-position model. The record is from RNAcentral.
CUGCAGCUCAAGUGGUGAUCAUUAUUAUUGGGCCUAAAACGUCCGUAGCCUGUUUAGUAAAUGCCUGGGUAAAUCGUGUAGCUUAACUAUACGAAUUCCGGGUAGACUGCUAAACUUGAGACCGGGAGAGGCUAGAGGUACUCCUGGGGUAGAGGUGAAAUUCUGUAAUCCUAGGGGGACCACCAGUGGCGAAGGCGUCUAGCUAGAACGGGUCCGACGGUGAGGGACGAAGCCCUGGGGCACAAACCGGAUUAGAGACCCGAGUAGUCC